Molecule: long non-coding RNA, 1009 nt
Organism: Myotis brandtii (Brandt's bat)
Lineage: Eukaryota; Metazoa; Chordata; Mammalia; Chiroptera; Vespertilionidae
Exons: 3
Source: RefSeq, a predicted model, not a curated record
CAGGAGAGGGAGGGGGAGCUGAGGAGUCACACCCCAAAGGGGCAUUCUCCUCCUGUGAGAAUCCCCCAACCCCCAGCUCACCACUGACCCUGAGAAAAGGGUCCCACCUGGAGUUCUCCAGGCUCUUUGUCUGUUUGAUUUGGGUGGGGAGGGCAGGGAAGAGAGCACAGAUGACGACAAAAGAAAAUCAAGCUUCCGCUCUAGGAGCAGGCUUUUGUUUACUGAGCACCUACUGUGCCAGGCCCUGUGCUCAGCUCUUACUGUCGUUAGAUCACCACAACAGCACAAGCUGGGAACAGGCAGGCCCCACACUGUACAGACAGGAAAUGGAGACCAGGCGGGCUGGUGGCUGGCCUGAGCUAGUGAACGACGACUGGGACUCAGCUCAGGUCAGUUUGAUGUCAUAAUCCCCAACCUCUAUCCUUCGACCUAGUCUUUUCCAGAGCCUCAGAGGCACGGGAGCACGGCAUGUAGAGGGUGAGCCUGCUGAAAGGCCCUCGAUGCAGGGAGCACUUGGAGAGAGCCUGUUUCCUCCCUGUCGGCUGCCAUUGCUGUCCCCCUCCUGGGCUGGUGUUCAGUCCCCUCUCCCUCCAGGUGGCUUUCUAAGGAGGCAACCCAAUGCUGAUGUGAGAGGUGUAGGGAUCAGGCCUGACAUAAGUAGGAAACCAAGCAGGGCAGAUAAAAACAGUGUAGCUGCUCAUAAAAUGUCCCUGACCCCAAAGGGUGAUGGUUAAUAACCAAUCAGGUGAAAAUACUGAGCCCCCUCCUCCCAGCCCCCCCCAAAAGAAAGAAAAUACUGAGGCCUUUUUGUACAACAAACUAACCCUGUACCCAGCACUGCCUGGGUAUUUCAUGACGAUUUCUGCACACAUGUCCCUAACCACCUCUGAAGCGAAAGCAAGAAACAGAACUGACAUGCGGCCUCCAAAUCAAUUCCUCCCCACCCCCAUGAGCAGAAAAAGAUCUGGGUUCUCAUUAUCGGAGCAUGAUUAGAGAGCGGCAGAGCAUA